UUAUAUUUACCUUUACCCUUAAAUUUUAGGAAGCUACAGAAGUUAAGUCACUUAACUUGCCAUUAUUCCAUUAAGAGCUCUUUGAUUGCUGCAAGGAGAUUUGGGCUGCUAAUCACACAAGAUAGUGCACAGAUCUAGCACUGCCACUUGAUCUCAACCUAUCCAACUCUCUCUUACUCAGCAUGCUUCAAUCAGCUCUAGAUCAAGGGAUCUCUCAUUCAAAUUGGCCUCCAUCAGUCGCUAGAUCUGCUUUUGGCUCUCUAUCGUGGUUCCAAUCUCACACCUAAAUGUUCUUGUGAUGCUUGAUGACCCAUGGAGGAUCUUUGCGCUGUGCCACGAGAAAUUCUGGGAAAACCUGUGAGAAAUUCUGGGACCAAUCACAUGAAUUGUGGGGCUUUGGAGCUUGAAAGAUGGGAGUUAGAGGGCGAGACUCGAUUCAACAAGGGUUUGUUAAAGUAUGAAUCAAAACAAUUUAAGGUAAACUCUUAGAUUAAAU
Molecule: long non-coding RNA, 496 nt
Filed under: Selaginella moellendorffii
Lineage: Eukaryota; Viridiplantae; Streptophyta; Lycopodiopsida; Selaginellales; Selaginellaceae
Description: long non-coding RNA (SMOE_LNC002313)
Source: RNAcentral